Molecule: non-coding RNA, 21 nt
Filed under: Caenorhabditis elegans
Lineage: Eukaryota; Metazoa; Nematoda; Chromadorea; Rhabditida; Rhabditidae
Source: RNAcentral
UACUUUCUCUUGAAUCCUGAA